This 445-nucleotide ribosomal RNA is filed under the name uncultured bacterium. RNAcentral describes it as "partial 16S ribosomal RNA". It matches the Rfam family "Bacterial small subunit ribosomal RNA", at positions 354 to 796 of the family's 1533-position model. The record is from RNAcentral.
GUGAGGAAUAUUGGUCAAUGGGCGAGAGCCUGAACCAGCCAAGUCGCGUGAAGGAUGAAGGUUUUAUGAAUUGUAAACUUCUUUUGCAGGGGAAUAAAGUACGGUACGUGUACCGUUUUGUAUGUACUCUGCGAAUAAGGAUCGGCUAACUCCGUGCCAGCAGCCGCGGUAAUACGGAGGAUCCAAGCGUUAUCCGGAUUUAUUGGGUUUAAAGGGUGCGUAGGUGGAUUGAUAAGUCAGCGGUGAAAGUUUGCAGCUUAACUGUAAAAUUGCCGUUGAAACUGUCGGUCUUGAGUGCAAAUGAGGUAGGCGGAAUGCGUGGUGUAGCGGUGAAAUGCAUAGAUAUCACGCAGAACUCCGAUUGCGAAGGCAGCUUACUAAGCUACAACUGACACUGAAGCACGAAAGCGUGGGGAUCAAACAGGAUUAGAUACCCCUGUAGUCC